This 370-nucleotide ribosomal RNA is filed under the name uncultured bacterium. RNAcentral describes it as "bacterial SSU rRNA". It matches the Rfam family "Bacterial small subunit ribosomal RNA", at positions 434 to 793 of the family's 1533-position model. The record is from RNAcentral.
CAGUAGGGAGGAAGGUAGUGUAGUUAACACCUGCAUUAUUUGACGUUACCUACAGAAGAAGCACCGGCUAACUCCGUGCCAGCAGCCGCGGUAAUACGGAGGGUGCGAGCGUUAAUCGGAAUUACUGGGCGUAAAGCGCAUGCAGGCGGCCUGUUAAGUCAGAUGUGAAAGCCCGGGGCGUUAACCUCGGAAUUGCAUUUGUAAACUAGGCAGGCUAGAGUCUUGUAGAGGGGGGUAGGAAGUUUCAGGUGUAGCGGUGAAAUGCGUAGAGAUCUGAAGGAAUACCAGUGGCGAAGGCGGCCCCCUCGGACAAAGACUGACGCUCAGAUGCGAAAGCGUGGGGAGCAAACAGGAUUAGAUACCCUGGUAG